Molecule: non-coding RNA, 24 nt
Filed under: Cricetulus griseus (Chinese hamster)
Lineage: Eukaryota; Metazoa; Chordata; Mammalia; Rodentia; Cricetidae
Source: RNAcentral
UAUUAACUGGCAAGUGGAAAUGUU